Ribosomal RNA from Cyanistes caeruleus (blue tit), 118 nucleotides. The record is from Ensembl. Lineage: Eukaryota; Metazoa; Chordata; Aves; Passeriformes; Paridae.
GCUACUGGCUUUGCUGAACUAACUGCAUUUCACCUCAUCCCUUCUGAGAAAAUAAGCAGUUCCAGGCCUGGCUAAGCUGUGGUGGGAAGUCAUCUGGGAAUUCAGGAAGCUAACGGCA